AAUAGAUACCCUGGUAGUCCAUGCCGUAAACGUUGGGAACUGGGUGUGGGUCUCAUUCCACGAGAUCCGUGCCGCAGCUAACGCAUUAAGUUCCCCGCCUGGGGAGUACGGCCGCAAGGCUAAAACUCAAAGGAAUUGACGGGGGCCCGCACAAGCGGCGGAGCAUGCGGAUUAAUUCGAUGCAACGCGAAGAACCUUACCAAGGCUUGACAUGUACCGGAAACGUGCAGAGAUGUGCGCCCCGCAAGGUCGGUACACAGGUGGUGCAUGGUUGUCGUCAGCUCGUGUCGUGAGAUGUUGGGUUAAGUCCCGCAACGAGCGCAACCCUCGUUCUAUGUUGCCAGCACGUGAUGGUGGGGACUCAUAGGAGACUGCCGGGGUCAACUCGGAGGAAGGUGGGGAUGACGUCAAAUCAUCAUGCCCCUUAUGUCUUGGGCUUCACGCAUGCUACAAUGGCCAGUACAAAGGGCUGCGAAACCGUGAGGUGGAGCGAAUCCCAAAAAACUGGUCUCAGUUCGGAUUGGGGU
RNAcentral lists this ribosomal RNA (527 nucleotides) under uncultured bacterium. Its description in RNAcentral is "bacterial SSU rRNA". It matches the Rfam family "Bacterial small subunit ribosomal RNA", at positions 777 to 1304 of the family's 1533-position model. The record is from RNAcentral.